RNAcentral lists this non-coding RNA (24 nucleotides) under Gallus gallus (chicken). RNAcentral also lists the same sequence under 2 other names. Lineage: Eukaryota; Metazoa; Chordata; Aves; Galliformes; Phasianidae. The record is from RNAcentral.
AGGUUCAGACAUUUGGUGUAUGUG